Molecule: ribosomal RNA, 253 nt
Filed under: uncultured bacterium
Lineage: Bacteria
Description: partial 16S ribosomal RNA
Rfam family: Bacterial small subunit ribosomal RNA
Source: RNAcentral
UGCGUAGGGUGCGAGCGUUGUCCGGAAUUAUUGGGCGUAAAGGGCUCGUAGGCGGUCUGUUGCGUCGGGAGUGAAAACUCAGGGCUUAACCCUGAGCCUGCUUCCGAUACGGGCAGACUAGAGGUAUGCAGGGGAGAACGGAAUUCCUGGUGUAGCGGUGAAAUGCGCAGAUAUCAGGAGGAACACCGGUGGCGAAGGCGGUUCUCUGGGCAUUACCUGACGCUGAGGAGCGAAAGUGUGGGGAGCGAACAGG